Long non-coding RNA from Acipenser ruthenus (sterlet), 3594 nucleotides. RefSeq lists it as uncharacterized. The transcript has 2 exons. NCBI's taxonomy places the organism in Eukaryota, Metazoa, Chordata, Actinopteri, Acipenseriformes, Acipenseridae. The record is from RefSeq and is a predicted model, not a curated record.
UCAAAGAACACACCCUUACUGGUGUGUCAGAGUUGGGCCUUUUUCAUUUUGCUUUGAAGGAAUGCCUUCUUAUAGUGAAACUAGGGACUCAAACUUCACAGUAAACCCAAGGCAGCAAUAUGGGUCACGUAACAAAAAAACUAAAAAAUAUAUUUUUAUCAAUACUCAGAAAAUGGAAAAGCCUUAUUCUGGCUGUUGGAAUGGCAAAAUAAAUAACUAUACUGGGCAACUGUCCUUUAACAUGCUUCAUGGGGGAACAGGAGGUUGGUAUCCGGUAGCAUAUUAAGUAAAAUAAUGAAGUACAAUAUUCUUUAAUACUGACAUAUCAGUUUACACUUGAGUGGGAAUAGUGGCGCAAGGAAGUCAAGUGACUUGCCCAAGGUCGCACAACAUGUUGUCGGCUGAGCUGAGAUUUUAAAUUCAGUAUCGUCCGUUUUCAGCUCUUCUGUUCUAACUUCUUGCAAAUGUUAAAAAUUCAGGGCGAAGUGAUUAACGUGUUGUAACAGGUAGCAAACUAAAAUUAAAUGUAUCAUUAGUGUAGGAAAAAAAGUGUAAUGCAUAAAAUGCAAGAAAUUGUGGCAGCAUGUUAAUGGACUUAAUCUUUGCAGUGCCAGGACUGUAUUUUACAUUUUUUUUACUGUAUUUGCAAGUGAAUAUUGGUAUGAGAUAUGGCUAUGAGACAUUGCUGUAAGGCAUAACUUAAGAGAUAUAUAAGGACUGUUGUAAGGAAUGUUUUAUUAAAAAGUGUUUAUAAACAUUCUUUAAGGUUAAACAAUGCUUUGAAAAAUGUGAAUAAACUAAUACCGUAUUACUUUGAAUUAAUGCUGCAGAGUUUAUUUUAAAUUACUUAAAACAGCUGUGCCACUGAUUCAAGGGCAGCGUUAAUUAGAAGUACUAUGGUUUUCGAAAGGUGCAAUUUUUUUAUUGUGUUUUUUUUUUUUUUUACGGUAUUUGAGGGAGGCGUAUAUUGAAGUUUAUUUCCGUGGAUACAACUUGAUCAGGAUGGCAAAGAAGUCCUACAACUUUAAACUGAAAGCUGUUGAGCUCGCAGAUCAGAUCAGUGUUUGACUGGGUGAGGACACAUACCAGUGUAGCGUGGAGAGGGAAAUUAACACCAAGGAGCCAGCAAGACAACUAAACACUCCCGGUCUCCUGAUCCAGGCAGGGCUUCGGUGAGGAAGAUGAGUUGAUCCCGUGGUUAUCCCCUAAACAGCAACGCCACAGCGACAGCUACACUAGCUUCUGCUCCCCAUUGACACUCCAAAACGCUGCACCCCUCACUCUUCGAACUUCCUGCCUGGGCCAGGAUUCUGCAGCGUCUCUUAUUAGCCAAAAUACCGUACAUACAACCAAAACAGAAAUGCAUUUAAGAAACUUAGUAGCAUUGCUUUUUUUCCCUGUAUAGUGCCCAACUCCUCAUUAAAAGGAUAGUGACUCUACGGAUCUUAUUGAAGGGUAGCAUUUAGAAGAUAAGUUGUUAGAUGGGUAAUAAAGUAGGAAAUGAGCAACGGGAAAAAAAUUACCACAACACUGCUAAAACUAACAAGUCCCAGGUCAGGCCAUCUCUGUCUAGAAUGAUACUAAUAUAUUACAAAAGACAACUGAAAUACAUUUUACAUGUUAAUGUAGACUAUGAUUGAUCAAUGUACAAUAAUAUCCCUUUCUUUGCCUUCCGCCAUUAGGAGAGAGAGGUCUGCAAUGUUGCCCCAGUCAGCCUCUCUCUUUUAUAUGAAGGCUGCUGCUGUGGCUGAGCCUGUGAAAUGACUCUGUGACAGCCGGCCAUUAAUUACCAUCAUCCAAGCCUAAUUCAUUCAUCCCUUUCUCUCUCAUGCAGAGGGACAGAUAGGUCUGAGGGCACUCAGGAAAAUGUAGGCAUGAUUCCAUAUUCUUUAUGCAGAGAACGCUGCCUGCUACUUUGUCGGUUGCAGUGGCUAAUUGAAUUGGCUUGUCUACAAAGCCGUUGUCAUUCAGUAAGUAUAAUUUGUUGUAUUACUCGCAACACAGCUGCUUCAAACAGCCAGCUAUUUCCUGAAGGCAAAGCAGACCUAUGCUCCAUCAAAACUUUAAUUGAUACAUAAUGCUCUUUAUAAUGCACCUGAAUGCUGUUCUGCAUGUCACAACAAUAACGGUGCCCCCUGGCCAGUAAGGGAGGAAGGCUGGGCCUUGUCCAUUUGGUGCCUCCAACAGGUGUGUGAUAUUCAGCCAGUGGAGAGCUGACACAUGCUUUUGUUUGUACUGCCUAAUGAAAGCUUUCCACAAAACACAGACCCUGACUGAAUACAAUAGGUACAAGAGUCCGGCAAUUAAUGUUGUUGUAGAAACCUGUGUGUGUGUGUUUUUAUGAACAAUGUUGUUACAUGUACGCAAGGAACUGUUCAAUACUUGCAAUCAAAGCACAAGCAGCUGCAGGUCAGGAUAAAGGCGCAUGAGGAAAAUAUUGGGCAUGGUUGCUUCAGAUGCAAUAGAGGUAAAUAUUUCCCCACUGGCCAGCCUUAAUGUUAAAUCUUUUAACCUAGUUUACAUUUAGGGCAGGAAGAUUUUGGAGAUUGUGACUUGCAUUUAGCGCUCAUUGAAGGAAAGUUUAUAAUGUCAACCUUAACCAAUUUGGUGAUGGCAUCAAUAGAUACAGAAUAUUAAAAUCUGGAACAAAACCCACAGCAGUUCAUUAUAGUGAGCUAUAACAUUGCCCUACCCUGUGAUCUGUGUGGCUCGACUCAUGCCAGUAACUCAAACAUUAUACAAGUUAAACAUUAGGGUGUGCACAAUGUGCAGUAUGUGACCUGGACUCCUUAAUUGCAGGGCUUAAGAGCAAACAAGAUAAAAAGAGCCAUUAUUCACUGCCUUGCCCAUUUACCACAUUAAGCUGGAAAAAUAAUCAAAGUACACAGGAUGCAAUGACCACAGAUUCCCUUUAGCUAUUUUCAACAAUUAACCUUUUAAAGUCUGAGGAAUGCAUAAUGAUUGAGAAUUGAUAUAACAAGAUAUAAUGCUGCUUAACUAACCCUCUAAAUUACUGCAGCUAUGGCCAAACGUUUUGCAUCACCAUAUAGAAUUAACACAUUUUGCUUCAUAAAGUUGAAUGAAACCUGCUAAAUAAUGUUACAUUAACAUAUUAAAUUACAUAUCGCUUUGUUGUUUUCAAUAUACUUAACGAAAAACUGACAAAAAUGUGAUAUUUCAAAAUCAAACUGAAAUACUGUACUACUAUUAUGGCUUCUGGUAUACUUUUGCUAUACCAUUUUGUAGUUUCUUUGAUUACAUGCUGUCAAAUAAAAGAUCUACAUGUUCAUAGUUUUUUUUUUUUUUAAUUAUGUCUCAAUCCUAAAAUUCUGGUCAAAACUUUUGGCCAUAGUUGUAUGAAUGUUUAAAUCUUUUGUAUUAUUUGCCUUUUAGUUUUAUCUUUUCCAAUUCCACAUUCAAACAGCAUUAAAGUAAAGUGGUGUACAACAAAAGCUAUACUUUAAAAAUGUGUAUUUAGUAACAUUUUGUAAAGAAAAUGUAUUUGUAAAAAAAAAAAGUGUUGCUAUGUAUAGCAGAAAUGGUGUUGUCUUUUUGGUAAAAUAUAUGGGUGGCACAUUCUUUCUGAGUUCAAAA